RNAcentral lists this ribosomal RNA (207 nucleotides) under uncultured bacterium. RNAcentral describes it as "partial 16S ribosomal RNA". It matches the Rfam family "Bacterial small subunit ribosomal RNA", at positions 328 to 538 of the family's 1533-position model. The record is from RNAcentral.
ACGCUCGACACCUACGGGAGGUAGCAGUCGGGAAUAUUGCGCAAUGGAGGAAACUCUGACGCAGUGACGCCGCGUGCAGGAAGAAGGUUUUCGGAUUGUAAACUGCUUUAGACAGGGAAGAAAGAAAUGACAGUACCUGUAGAAUAAGCUCCGGCUAACUACGUGACAGCACGCCGACGGUAAUCUGAGGCGGGCGUGGACGAAGGC